RNAcentral lists this ribosomal RNA (501 nucleotides) under uncultured bacterium. Its description in RNAcentral is "partial 16S ribosomal RNA". It matches the Rfam family "Bacterial small subunit ribosomal RNA", at positions 29 to 523 of the family's 1533-position model. The record is from RNAcentral.
AUUGAACGCUGGCGGCAUGCCUUACACAUGCAAGUCGAACGGCAGCACGGGUGCUUGCACCUGGUGGCGAGUGGCGAACGGGUGAGUAAUACAUCGGAACGUACCUUAUCGUGGGGGAUAACGCAGCGAAAGCUGUGCUAAUACCGCAUACGCCCUGAGGGGGAAAGCGGGGGAUCGCAAGACCUCGCGCGAUUCGAGCGGCCGAUGCCUGAUUAGCUUGUUGGUGGGGUAAAAGCCCACCAAGGCGACGAUCAGUAGCUGGUCUGAGAGGACGAUCAGCCACACUGGGACUGAGACACGGCCCAGACUUCUACGGGAGGCAGCAGUGGGGAAUUUUGGACAAUGGGGGCAACCCUGAUCCAGCAAUGCCGCGUGAGUGAAGAAGGCCUUCGGGUUGUAAAGCUCUUUAGUCAGGGAAGAAACACCGGCUCUAACACAGUCCGGGAAUGACGGUACCUGAAGAAUAAGCACCGGCUAACUACGUGCCAGCCGCCGCAGUAA